This 73-nucleotide transfer RNA is filed under the name Ailuropoda melanoleuca (giant panda). It matches the Rfam family "tRNA". Rfam says of the family: Transfer RNA (tRNA) molecules are approximately 80 nucleotides in length. Their secondary structure includes four short double-helical elements and three loops (D, anti-codon, and T loops). Further hydrogen bonds mediate the characteristic L-shaped molecular structure. tRNAs have two regions of fundamental functional importance: the anti-codon, which is responsible for specific mRNA codon recognition, and the 3' end, to which the tRNAs corresponding amino acid is attached (by aminoacyl-tRNA synthetases). tRNAs cope with the degeneracy of the genetic code in two manners: having more than one tRNA (with a specific anti-codon) for a particular amino acid; and 'wobble' base-pairing, i.e. permitting non-standard base-pairing at the 3rd anti-codon position. The record is from Rfam by way of RNAcentral. Lineage: Eukaryota; Metazoa; Chordata; Mammalia; Carnivora; Ursidae.
AUCUACCUGGCUUAGUUGGUAGAGUAUGCGACUCUUGAGCUCAGGGUUGUGAGUUCGAGCCCCAUGUUGGAUG